UCCUACGGGAGGCAGCAGUGGGGAAUAUUGGGCAAUGGGCGGAAGCCUGACCCAGCGACGCCGCGUGAGGGAAGAAGGCCUUUGGGUCGUAAACCUCUGUUGUAUGGGAAGAAGGAAGUGACGGUACCAUACGAGGAAGUCCCGGCUAACUACGUGCCAGCAGCCGCGGUAAA
RNAcentral lists this ribosomal RNA (173 nucleotides) under uncultured Aminobacterium sp. Its description in RNAcentral is "partial 16S ribosomal RNA". It matches the Rfam family "Bacterial small subunit ribosomal RNA", at positions 337 to 524 of the family's 1533-position model. Lineage: Bacteria; Thermotogati; Synergistota; Synergistia; Synergistales; Aminobacteriaceae. The record is from RNAcentral.